This 502-nucleotide ribosomal RNA is filed under the name uncultured bacterium. RNAcentral's name for it is "partial 16S ribosomal RNA". It matches the Rfam family "Bacterial small subunit ribosomal RNA", at positions 28 to 507 of the family's 1533-position model. The record is from RNAcentral.
GACGAACGCUGGCGGCGUGCUUAACACAUGCAAGUCGAACGGUGAAGGGGUCUGCUUUUGUGGGCCCUGGAUGAGUGGCGAACGGGUGAGUAACACGUGAGUAACCUGCCCCCUUCUUCUGGAUAACCGCAUGAAAGUGUGGCUAAUACGGGAUAUUCUGGGUCUGUCGCAUGAUGGGUCUGGGAAAGAUUGCGCCUUUGGGUGUUUUUGGUGGGGGAUGGGCUCGCGGCCUAUCAGCUUGUUGGUGGGGUGAUGGCCUACCAAGGCGGUGACGGGUAGCCGGCCUGAGAGGGUGGACGGUCACACUGGGACUGAGACACGGCCCAGGCUCCUACGGGAGGCAGCAGUGGGGAAUAUUGCACAAUGGGCGCAAGCCUGAUGCAGCGACGCCGCGUGAGGGAUGGAGGCCUUCGGGUUGUAAACCUCUUUCGCCAGUGAAGCAGGCCUGCUCCUUGUGGGUGGGUUGACGGUAGCUGGAUAAGAAGCGCCGGCUAACUACGUG